CUUCCUGGGUCAUGGCUGCCUAAAAUGCAUCCAAGCAUUCAGUGUCUCCUCCCUCUGCAUGCAGACACUGAACUUUUCUCAUAGAGAUUAAUUGAUUAAAUUCCUCUCUAUGAGGAGAUGCUGAUUGGCCAGGGCUGUGUUUGAAUAAUACUGCCUCUGCCCCUGAUCUGCCUCUUUGUCAGUCUCAGCCAAUCCUAUGGGGAAGCAUUGUGAUUGGAUCAGACUACCACUUCUGAUGAUGUCAGCAGACUGCUUGUUUUUCUGAGGCAAACAGCAUGCAGAGUAACAACUUCAGGCUCGAAUACAGUAAGAUUUUGCUAUAUUUAUGGAGGCAUGAGGGGCCCAG
Pelobates cultripes (western spadefoot toad) is the source of this 346-nucleotide non-coding RNA. NCBI's taxonomy places the organism in Eukaryota, Metazoa, Chordata, Amphibia, Anura, Pelobatidae. The record is from the annotation of a GenBank genome assembly.